UGACGUGACCCAGCCAUAGUCAUUUCAGAAUAGCCACAGCCGUUUCAGAAUAGCUUUACAAAUGACACAGAUCUCACCAAACGAAAGAAGUUGUACACAGUGUGCAACUUUCAACACGCAACGCGAAGCGCCAGCCGAACGAAGAGAGAACAAGCUGUUUCAGAACGCUUCGCGAAUGAAGUUUCCAGCCCGCCGGCCGCUAGUGGCAACGCAGGAAAGAACGACGCCCGGCAGAGAAAGAAAAAGAAAAGGGCCGGCGGCGGGAAAGCUGGCCAGGCAGCCAGCUGAGUGAGUCGGCCGCGGGAGGUUGUUCGGGCGGAGGGAGAGGCCCAGGGAGCCCGUCCCAGCGCAGCGGCAAGCAAGGCAGGCAAGCAAGCAGCAGAGGAGGCUCGCCGGCCCCUGCGCACGGCGACGCCGCCGCCAACCUUCGCAGCGAGCGGCAGCAGCAGGCCAGCCAGCCUUCAGCCCUCGGCGCCUCAUCCCUCGCCCACACCACUGGCGGCAGCAGAACAACGACAUGGCCGCGUAAAAAAGCCUGCUGCCUCGCACGCGUCCUCAGCUGAAUAUCUCCCUCUCCUCGCCGCCGCCAGGGGCCGCCGCGCGCGUCCCACGCACGCGGUGCGCGGGUUGGCCGCGAUAACCCCACGUGACCAUAGCGCGCGAAGCACGAUGGGAUCGUCGCGCGCCCCGUCGUCUGCAACACUCACGUCGGGCGCCGCUUCAGUGGGCGAUCAGCCGCUGUUGGUGCCGGUGUGUUAAACUGGGACUGCGUGUCUCCUGAGCACCGCCGUGCGUGCUCCUCUCAGCGUGUCGUCUGCUGCUGCUGCCAGCGUUAAGCACAUCGUCGUUCGUCGCAGCCGAUCCCGGCCUCGACUGUCGUGACUGACAUCCUCGUGUGUUUCGACGCCCGCGAGGGACUGUGCCACGACGUGUCGACGCGACGACGAAGCCGACGACCAGCACGGUUGGAACCGUGAGGCCGUCAUUCCGUGUUCGACGCCAGACGCCUAUGGCAUGGGGGUAGAGGUCAGCCCACUGCAUGCCCUCAGAUUUAAGCACGGUCCUCGUUGAAAACCGCCAAGAUCCGCCGCGGGCUCUUGCCUACCCCGGGAUGUGUGCCGUUGGCGCAGAAUCGCUUUACGACAGUAGCCGUCGGGAGCCCGUGAACCGUUAUCCUGACUGUGUCCUGCUGUCGUGCUUCGAGGGUGUGUGGUUCUCGACCGGUUGCGUUUCUCGGACGCGUUCUGUUGUGGCGUUCUCGUGUCCCCCGUCAGCAGUGCUGAAAACUUGUUUCGCGCAAAAUAAAGGCACGCCUAAGGUA
RNAcentral lists this unclassified non-coding RNA (1321 nucleotides) under Dermacentor andersoni. RNAcentral describes it as "tSC22 domain family protein 1-like". Lineage: Eukaryota; Metazoa; Arthropoda; Arachnida; Ixodida; Ixodidae. The record is from RNAcentral.